This 268-nucleotide ribosomal RNA is filed under the name uncultured Oscillibacter sp. RNAcentral describes it as "partial 16S ribosomal RNA". It matches the Rfam family "Bacterial small subunit ribosomal RNA", at positions 74 to 339 of the family's 1533-position model. The record is from RNAcentral. Lineage: Bacteria; Bacillati; Bacillota; Clostridia; Eubacteriales; Oscillospiraceae.
UUCGUCCAAUUGAAGCAGAGGACAGUGGCGGACGGGUGAGUAACGCGUGAGGAACCUGCCUUUCAGAGGGGGACAACAGUUGGAAACGACUGCUAAUACCGCAUGACGCAUAGGGGUCGCAUGAUCUUUAUGCCAAAGAUUUAUCGCUUCAAGAUGGCCUCGCGUCUGAUUAGCUAGUUGGUGAGGUAACGGCCCACCAAGGCGACGAUUGGUAGCCGGACUGAGAGGUUGAACGGCCACAUUGGGACUGAGACACGGCCCAGACUCC